This 497-nucleotide ribosomal RNA is filed under the name uncultured bacterium. RNAcentral describes it as "partial 16S ribosomal RNA". It matches the Rfam family "Bacterial small subunit ribosomal RNA", at positions 28 to 507 of the family's 1533-position model. The record is from RNAcentral.
GAUGAACGCUGGCGGCGUGCCUAAUACAUGCAAGUCGAGCGAACAGACGAGGAGCUUGCUCCUUUGACGUUAGCGGCGGACGGGUGAGUAACACGUGGGUCACCUACCUAUAAGACUGGGAUAACUUCGGGAAACCGGAGCUAAUACCGGAUAAUAUUUCGAACCGCAUGGUUCGAUAGUGAAAGAUGGCUUUGCUAUCACUUAUAGAUGGACCUGCGCCGUAUUAGCUAGUUGGUAAGGUAACGGCUUACCAAGGCAACAAUACGUAGCCGACCUGAGAGGGUGAUCGGCCACACUGGAACUGAGACACGGUCCAGACUCCUACGGGAGGCAGCAGUAGGGAAUCUUCCGCAAUGGGCGAAAGCCUGACGGAGCAACGCCGCGUGAGUGAUGAAGGUCUUCGGAUCGUAAAACUCUGUUAUUAGGGAAGAACAAACGUGUAAGUAACUGUGCACGUCGUGACGGUACCGAAUCAGAAAGCCACGGCUAACUACGUG